This 336-nucleotide unclassified non-coding RNA is filed under the name soil metagenome. RNAcentral's name for it is "partial contains 5.8S ribosomal RNA, internal transcribed spacer 2, and large subunit ribosomal RNA". The stretch from base 1 to 120 matches the Rfam family "5.8S ribosomal RNA", at positions 35 to 154 of the family's 154-position model. The record is from RNAcentral.
GAUGAAGAACGCAGCGAAAUGCGAUAAGUAGUGUGAAUUGCAGAUUUCAGUGAAUCAUCGAAUCUUUGAACGCACAUUGCGCCCCUUGGUAUUCCAUGGGGCAUGCCUGUUCGAGCGUCAUUUGUACCUUCAAGCUUUGCUUGGUGUUGGGUGUUUGUCUCGCCUUUGCGUGUAGACUCGCCUUAAAAUAAUUGGCAGCCGGCGUAUUGAUUUCGGAGCGCAGUACAUCUCGCGCUUUGCACUCAUAACGACAGCGUCCAAAAGUACAUUUUACACUCUUGACCUCGGAUCAGGUAGGGAUACCCGCUGAACUUAAGCAUAUCAAUAAGCGGAGGA